Molecule: ribosomal RNA, 477 nt
Filed under: uncultured bacterium
Lineage: Bacteria
Description: partial 16S ribosomal RNA
Rfam family: Bacterial small subunit ribosomal RNA
Source: RNAcentral
GACGAACGCUGGCGGCAUGCCUAACACAUGCAAGUCGAACGGUAAGGCUUCCUUCGGGAAGUACACGAGUGGCGAACGGGUGAGUAACACGUGGGUAACCUACCCUUGACUGGGGGAUAACCGAGGGAAACUUCGGCUAAUACCGCAUAACGUGCAUUGCCUCAAGGUGGUGUACCAAAGCUCCGGCGGGUAAGGGAGGGGCCCGCGGCAGAUUAGCUUGUUGGUGAGGUAACGGCUUACCAAGGCGACGAUAUGUAGCUGGUUGGAGAGGAAGAUCAGCCAAACUGGAAGUGAGAGACGGUCCAGACUCCUACGGGAGGAAGCAGUAGGGAAUCCUGCGCAAUGGGCGAAAGCCUGACGCAGCAAUGCCGCGUGAGGGAAGACGGCCUUAGGGUUGUAAACCUCUUUCAGCAGGGACGAACACAGACGGUACCUGCAGAAGAAGCCCCGGCUAACUACGUGCCAGCCGCCCGGUAA